CCUACGGGUGGCUGCAGUGGGGAAUAUUGGACAAUGGGGGCAACCCUGAUCCAGCCAUGCCGCGUGUGUGAAGAAGGCCCUCGGGUUGUAAAGCACUUUCAGUGAGGAAGAACGCCUGGUGGUUAAUACCCAUCAGGAAAGACAUCACUCACAGAAGAAGCACCGGCUAACUCCGUGCCAGCAGCCGCGGUAAUACGGAGGGUGCGAGCGUUAAUCGGAAUUACUGGGCGUAAAGCGCGCGUAGGUGGCUUGAUAAGCCGGUUGUGAAAGCCCCGGGCUCAACCUGGGAACGGCAUCCGGAACUGUCAAGCUAGAGUGCAGGAGAGGAAGGUAGAAUUCCCGGUGUAGCGGUGAAAUGCGUAGAGAUCGGGAGGAAUACCAGUGGCGAAGGCGGCCUCCUGGACUGACACUGACACUGAGGUGCGAAAGCGUGGGUAGCAAACAGGAUUAGAUACCCCAGUAGUC
RNAcentral lists this ribosomal RNA (465 nucleotides) under Vreelandella stevensii. RNAcentral describes it as "partial 16S ribosomal RNA". It matches the Rfam family "Bacterial small subunit ribosomal RNA", at positions 338 to 795 of the family's 1533-position model. Lineage: Bacteria; Pseudomonadati; Pseudomonadota; Gammaproteobacteria; Oceanospirillales; Halomonadaceae. The record is from RNAcentral.